GAACCUACGGUUGCUGCCGUUGCAUCGUGAGGAGGCCGGGCGAGCGUGGAUCUUCGCCGUUCUUGACGUCGCGCCAGUGCUAGUCGCCGUCGAGAUUUCCAGCGUCGACCGUUGGCGUUUCGGCUCGUACUCGACGUAGGAGCGUCGGAUUUUGACGAGGCUUGAUUCGCUGGAUUCAGGACUUCGAGAGGAAUCCACGAAACCCUUACUUGCCAGAUUUCGUUGAGAGCGUGGUGUUAGCUCGACUCCCGGAUUUGGAGGGUGUAGAUCGACCAGCAGGUGGUGCUGCAGCUGUGAGGGUGUUUUGCUGCCAGAAUUAGCGACUAAGAGCCACAGGUUUCGGCUACUGCGCCUUCCGCGGAUCAGGAUCGAGGCAAGGGCGUCGCGA
This is a long non-coding RNA of Ananas comosus (pineapple), 388 nucleotides long. RefSeq lists it as uncharacterized. The record is from RefSeq and is a predicted model, not a curated record. NCBI's taxonomy places the organism in Eukaryota, Viridiplantae, Streptophyta, Magnoliopsida, Poales, Bromeliaceae. The transcript is spliced from 4 exons.